Molecule: ribosomal RNA, 440 nt
Filed under: uncultured bacterium
Lineage: Bacteria
Description: partial 16S ribosomal RNA
Rfam family: Bacterial small subunit ribosomal RNA
Source: RNAcentral
CCUACGGGGGGCAGCAGUAGGGAAUAUUGCUCAAUGGGGGAAACCCUGAAGCAGCAACGCCGCGUGGAGGAUGAAGGUAUUCGGAUUGUAAAAUCCUUUUGGUAGAGAAGAUAAUGCUGGUAUCCAACGACUAAGCACCGGCUCACACCGUGACAGCAGGCGCGGUAAGACGGAGGGUGCAAGCGUUAUUCGGAAUCACUGGGCGUAAAGAGCGCGUAGGCGGGUUAGCAAGUCAGAUGUGAAAUCCUAUGGCUUAACCAUAGAACUGCAGUUGAAACUGGUAGUCUAGAGUAGGGGAGAGGGAGGUGGAAUUCGUGGUGUAGCGGUGAAAUGCGUAGAGAUCGAGAGGAAUACUGAUUGCGAAGGCGGCCUGCUGGAACAAAACUGACGCUGAGGCGCGAAAGCGUGGGGAGCAAACAGGAUUAGAUACCCCAGUAGUC